GUACAGUGGCGGACGGGUGAGUAACGCGUAAUCAAUCUGCCCCUAAGACAGGGAUAGCCAUCCGAAAGGGUGAGUAAUACCAGAUAAGACCGCAGAGUCGCAUGACUUAGUGGUAAAAGGUGGGGACCUUCGGGCCUGCCACUUAGGGAUGAGAUUGCGUCCUAUUAGCUAGUUGGUGAGGUAACGGCUCACCAAGGCAAUGAUGGGUAUCCGGCCUGAGAGGGUGAACGGACACACUGGAACUGAGACACGGUCCAGACUCCUACGGGAGGCAGCAGUGCUGAAUCAUUCGCCAAUGCGGGAAACCGUGACGGUGCGACGCCGCGUGCAGGAUGAAGGCCCUUGGGUUGUAAACUGCUGUCAGGUUUUAGAAAACUACAUAUGUUAAUAGCUUAUGUACUGAUCAGAAUCAAAGGAAGCACAGGCUAAUUUCGUGCCAGCAGCCGCGGUAAUACGAAAUGUGCGAGCGUUGUUCGGAAUCACUGGGCAUAAAGGGUCUGUAGGCGGUCUUAUAAGUUAGUGGUGAAAUACCUCGGCUCAACCGGGGAACUGCCACUAAUACUGUAAGACUUGAGUGUGAAAGAGGUAAGUGGAAUUCCAGGUGUAGCGGUGGAAUACGUAGAUAUCUGGAAGAACACCAAUGGCGAAAGGCAGUCUCUUGGUCCGCAUCUGACGCUGAGGCUCGAAAGCGUGGGGAGCAAACAGGAUUAGAUACCCUGGUAGUCCACGCCGUAACGAUGAAUACUAG
RNAcentral lists this ribosomal RNA (748 nucleotides) under uncultured bacterium. Its description in RNAcentral is "bacterial SSU rRNA". It matches the Rfam family "Bacterial small subunit ribosomal RNA", at positions 90 to 819 of the family's 1533-position model. The record is from RNAcentral.